UUUAAACCUCGACAUUGAACAGCAGCCU
This 28-nucleotide small RNA is filed under the name Bombyx mori (domestic silkworm). RNAcentral's name for it is "ovarian small RNA-38211". The record is from RNAcentral. Lineage: Eukaryota; Metazoa; Arthropoda; Insecta; Lepidoptera; Bombycidae.